RNAcentral lists this ribosomal RNA (491 nucleotides) under uncultured bacterium. RNAcentral's name for it is "bacterial SSU rRNA". It matches the Rfam family "Bacterial small subunit ribosomal RNA", at positions 1009 to 1504 of the family's 1533-position model. The record is from RNAcentral.
GAUUGGUGCUCGAAAGAGAACCUGCACACAGGUGCUGCAUGGCUGUCGUCAGCUCGUGUCGUGAGAUGUUGGGUUAAGUCCCGCAACGAGCGCAACCCUUGUCAUUAGUUGCUACGAAAGGGCACUCUAAUGAGACUGCCGGUGACAAACCGGAGGAAGGUGGGGAUGACGUCAAGUCCUCAUGGCCCUUAUGGGUAGGGCUUCACACGUCAUACAAUGGUCGGUACAGAGGGUUGCCAAGCCGCGAGGUGGAGCCAAUCCCAGAAAACCGAUCGUAGUCCGGAUCGCAGUCUGCAACUCGACUGCGUGAAGUCGGAAUCGCUAGUAAUCGCGGAUCAGAAUGCCGCGGUGAAUACGUUCCCGGGUCUUGUACACACCGCCCGUCACACCAUGGGAGUGGGUUCUACCAGAAGUGGCUAGUCUAACCGCAAGGAGGACGGUCACCACGGUAGGAUUCAUGGCUGGGGUGAAGUCGUAACAAGGUAACCAAU